CAACAGGGAUUGCCUCAGUAACGGCGAGUGAAGCGGCAACAGCUCAAAUUUGAAAUCUGGCCUAGCCCGAGUUGUAAUUUGCAGAGGAUGCUUCGGACGCGGCGCCUUCCAAGUCCCCUGGAACGGGGCGCCUUAGAGGGUGAGAGCCCCGUACGGUUGGAUGCCAAGUCUGUGUGAAGCUCCUUCGACGAGUCGAGUAGUUUGGGAAUGCUGCUCAAAAUGGGAGGUAGACCCCUUCUAAAGCUAAAUACCGGCCAGAGACCGAUAGCGCACAAGUAGAGUGAUCGAAAGAUGAAAAGCACUUUGAAAAGAGGGUUAAAAAGCACGUGAAAUUGUUGAAAGGGAAGCGCUCGUGGUCAGACUUGCGCCGGGGUGAUCAUCUGGGGUUCUCCCCAGUGCACUCGCCCCGGCACAGGCCCGCGUCGGUUCUCGUGGGGGGAUAAAGGCGGCAGGAAUGUGGCUCCUCGGAGUGUUAUAGCCUGUCGCGUCAUGCCCCCGUGGGGACCGAGGUCUGCGCUCUGCAAGGACGCGGGCAUAAUGGCCACCGGCGACCCGUCUUGAAACACGGACCAAGGAGUCAAGGUUAUGCGCGAGUGUUUGGGUGUCAAACCCGCACGCGUAAUGAAAGUGAACGUAGGUGGGAGCUUCGGCGCACCACCGACCGAUCCUGAUGUUCUCGGAUGGAUUUGAGUAGGAGCGUACAGCCUUGGACCCGAAAGAUGGUGAACUAUGCUUGGAUAGGGUGAAGCCAGAGGAAACUCUGGUGGAGGCUCGCAGCGGUUCUGACGUGCAAAUCGAUCGUCAAAUCUGAGCAUGGGGGCGAAAGACUAAUCGAACCAUCUAGUAGCUGGUUCCGCAG
This 859-nucleotide ribosomal RNA is filed under the name Dictyochaeta sp. Its description in RNAcentral is "partial large subunit ribosomal RNA". It matches the Rfam family "Eukaryotic large subunit ribosomal RNA", at positions 66 to 962 of the family's 3401-position model. Lineage: Eukaryota; Fungi; Ascomycota; Sordariomycetes; Chaetosphaeriales; Chaetosphaeriaceae. The record is from RNAcentral.